Molecule: long non-coding RNA, 298 nt
Filed under: Amborella trichopoda
Lineage: Eukaryota; Viridiplantae; Streptophyta; Magnoliopsida; Amborellales; Amborellaceae
Description: long non-coding RNA (ATRI_LNC005146)
Source: RNAcentral
GAUAGGGUGGCCUCAGAAUCAUCGUCUCUCUCAUUUUUUCUUAGACCCCCUUCCCACUCUCCCUCAUUAGGUGCAAUAUCACCGUCAUCUCCGACGAAUUGUGGAUACGUUGGCUGGCUGCUUCCUCUUUCAUGCUGCUCAUCACCUUCUUCAAGAUCUUCCUCGCCGAUAGCCUCAAAGAACGCUCUCUUGUGCAACACUGGCUCCUCCUCUUCUACUACCCAUUGGUCUGCUGUGUCUGUGACAAAUAUUGUGUCUAACUCUAUCGGCCCAUAGUCUUCAAGCUUCCUUCUUAUUU